Molecule: ribosomal RNA, 324 nt
Filed under: Coreus marginatus
Lineage: Eukaryota; Metazoa; Arthropoda; Insecta; Hemiptera; Coreidae
Description: SSU rRNA
Rfam family: Eukaryotic small subunit ribosomal RNA
Source: RNAcentral
GUAGUCAUAUGCUUGUCUCAAAGCUUAAGCCAUGCAAGUCUCAGUACGAGCUGACUUAAAGUGAAACCGCAAAAGGCUCAGUAAACCGGUCAUAGUUUACCGGACAUAUACCACUUACGUGGAUAACUGUGGUAAUUCUAGAGCUAAUACAUGCAAACAAGUCCCGACCAGCGAUGGAGAGGACGCUUUUAUUUGAACAAAACCAUUCGCCCGGCUUGCCCGGGCGUCGGCUUGACGAUUCUAGAUAACACCACAGAUCGCACGGUCAAAGUACCGGUGACGUAUCCUUCAAAUGUCUGACUUAUCAGCUGUCGAUGGUAGACU